Molecule: RNA transcript, 1716 nt
Organism: Cercocebus atys (sooty mangabey)
Lineage: Eukaryota; Metazoa; Chordata; Mammalia; Primates; Cercopithecidae
Gene name: clustered mitochondria protein homolog pseudogene
Exons: 1
Source: RefSeq, a predicted model, not a curated record
ACUGCACUCCAGAGCAAGACUCUGUCUCAAAAAGAAAAAAAAAAAGAAAAAGAAAAUUCAAAAACUAUAGCAGGGUUUUUACUCAAACUUUUCCCAAACAGCAAUUUCUACACUAAUGCUGGUCAGUGACAUCAUUGUCACUAGUCCAUAGAUAAAAUGAAGACCAUGUUUAGAGUUUUCCAACACAUUUAAGUUUCUUCUAUAGAAAAGCUGCCCUUAGUUUUGAAUUUGAUUCUUCUGACUUUUUAACAUUUUAAUACUAAACUAAUAACAUUAUUUAUUGUAUGAAAAGAGGAUGAUAAAAGCUCUUUUAUCAUGUUACAUUGUUGAAGUUCCUGACCUGGCAAAAUAAAAUGUUGAUAAAACAAUGCCAGUUCUUCAAGUUCUGUUUAGUUGUUUAUUUUAUGCGUUUUGUCAUAUGUAUACUUGGUCACAGGGGAAACCCCUGCUUUAAAAUAAAGACUGGCUCCCUGUGAGCCCAUCAAUCAGGCCCUGCACCUGUUUAGCAAAGUGUAGGGAGCGGUGCACGUGGAGAUCUGCGCCUGCCUGCGCCUCCUCGCCCGCCUCCACUACAUCAUGGGUACGCAUGAGGUACUACAUCAUGAGUACGCAGAGGCCCUGAGAAGCCAGCAGGAGGCAGUGCUGAUGAGCGUUCGGGUGACGGGCAUCGAGCACCCCAACACCAUCCAGGAAAACACGCAUCUGGCCCUGCACUGCUUCACCAGCAGGCAGCUGUCUCCGGCCCUGAGCCUGCUGUGGGGCGCCGGCUACCUCACGCUGCUGGUGCUUGGGGAAGACACCCCGAGGUGGCGUGCUGGACAGCAUCGGGCGGGUGCUGCACAGGGUGAUGGAGUACGACCUGUCGCCACGCUUCCUGGACAACGCGCUGGCCGUCAGCACCAAGUACCACGGGCCCAAGGCCCUCAAGGUGGCCUUGGCCACCAUCUCAUCGCCUGGGUCUAUGAGAGCAAGGCUGAGUUCCGGUGGGCCCUGCAGCACCAGAAGGAAGGACUGCACACCCUCCGUAAUACCCAGCUGGGCGAGGACCAGGAGAAGAUCAAGGAGAGCUCCGAGUACCUCAAAUGCCUGACCCAGCCAGCCGUGGUCCUGCGGAGCGCCAUGAAUGAGAUCUACCGCAAUGGCUCCAGCAACAACAUCCCGCCCCUCAACUUCACAGCCCCCGGCAUGGCCAGCAUCUUGGAGCAGUUCAGAGGCAUCAGUGGCAUCCUCUUCAUUCCUCUCAGUCAAAAAGACUUGGAGAAUCUGAACGCCGAGGUGACGCAGUGACACCAGCUCCAGGAGGCCAGUAGAAACAGGGAUAAGGCCGAGGAGCCCAAGGCCACGAAGCCCGAGUCAGUGGAGGCACCAGAGGACCUGGGCUCCCAGCCCCGGGCUGCCAAGGACUCUUCUUCCCCAAAUUUGCAGGGAUAGAGAGGGACAGGCAGACGGACAGUUAGUCAGUGGCCCCAUUCACCAGGGAUCCAGACUCCAGGAGAAGGAGGCAUACCUGCCAUGGGAAGAGGAAGCAAGGCCCUCUUCUUCCAUGUUUCACCCCCACCGCACCCCCAGUAUCCUCCCGGGACCCUGGCCUGGCCUGCCUGCUCCCCAAAAGAUGUUUUUGCACUGGUUCAAUGAAUAUAUGAUGCAGAGGCCCUCCCCCACAAAAAAAAGACUGGCUCCCUAAUCGUUAUGUCCCUAGCAUAACACAGUAGGCUC